RNAcentral lists this small nucleolar RNA (88 nucleotides) under Dothideomycetidae sp. 11243. RNAcentral describes it as "fungal sp. No.11243 A. fumigatus snoRNA Afu_294". It matches the Rfam family "A. fumigatus snoRNA Afu_294". Lineage: Eukaryota; Fungi; Ascomycota; Dothideomycetes. The record is from Rfam by way of RNAcentral.
UCAUUUGAUGAACAAAAAAUAUUUCGCUGUGUUCUUACCGAGACACGUCGUUGAAGAUAAAAAACCAUUCACCUUGGAGAACUGACCA